Molecule: microRNA precursor, 103 nt
Filed under: Glycine max (soybean)
Lineage: Eukaryota; Viridiplantae; Streptophyta; Magnoliopsida; Fabales; Fabaceae
Description: miR5037b stem-loop (gma-MIR5037b)
Source: miRBase by way of RNAcentral
CAGUAACCCUCAAAGGCUUCCUAGACUCCAUGUUACGGUCAAAUCAAUUAAUCGUUGAUUAGGAAUAAUUAAGAGUUUCGGAAGUAACUUUGGGGGUUAACUG